Molecule: non-coding RNA, 267 nt
Filed under: Jeotgalibaca sp.
Lineage: Bacteria; Bacillati; Bacillota; Bacilli; Lactobacillales; Carnobacteriaceae
Description: T-box sequence
Rfam family: T-box leader
About the family: Uncharged tRNA acts as the effector for transcription antitermination of genes in the T-box leader family. T-boxes are found upstream of many aminoacyl-tRNA synthetase genes and some amino acid biosynthetic genes usually in Gram-positive bacteria. The anticodon of a specific tRNA base pairs to a specifier sequence within the T-box motif, and the NCCA acceptor tail of the tRNA base pairs to a conserved bulge in the T-box antiterminator hairpin.
Source: RNAcentral
AAAAACACUUUGAAGAGAAGAGUAAGGUAUUCUUUCCUUUUGUAGAGAGCUUGGUUAGGUGAAAGCAAGCAAGGAACAGGUAGCUGAAGAUGGUCUCUGAGUGGCUUAUCCGAGUAGGGAAACCUUUAGGGUAGGACGGGAACGCCCGUUACAGUGUCCCAGUAUCAGUCAUGGCAAUUCGUGGCGGUACUGAUAGAGGCAAGAGUAGUGAUACUUUUGUAAAUUAAGGUGGUAACACGAGAUGAAACGUUGACUCUCGUCCUUUCA